RNAcentral lists this ribosomal RNA (390 nucleotides) under Himanthalia elongata. Its description in RNAcentral is "bacterial LSU rRNA". It matches the Rfam family "Bacterial large subunit ribosomal RNA", at positions 1038 to 1421 of the family's 2925-position model. The record is from RNAcentral. Lineage: Eukaryota; Phaeophyceae; Fucales; Himanthaliaceae.
GCUAAGGCCCCUAAAUAGUUACUAAGUGAUAAAGGAGGUGGGAAGACUUAGACAACCAGGAGGUUUGCUUAGAAGCAGCAAUCCUUUAAAGAGUGCGUAAUAGCUCACUGGUCGAGUAAUCCUGCGCCGAAAAUGAAUGGGACUAAGUAAUUUGCCGAAGCUGUGAGAUAUUAAAAUAAAAAUAAAUUUAUAUCGGUAGGGGAGCGUUCUGUUUUAGAUUGAAGCGUUAGCGUAAGUGGACGUGGACGAAGCAGAAGUGAGAAUGUCGGCUUGAGUAGCGAAAACAUAGGUGAGAAUCCAAUGCCCUGAAAACCUAAGGUUUCCUCCGGAAGGCUCGUCCGCGGAGGGUAAGUCAGGACCUAAGGCGAGGCUGAAAAGCGUAGUCGAUGG